CCUACGGGAGGCAGCAGUGAGGAAUAUUGGUCAAUGGACGAGAGUCUGAACCAGCCAAGUAGCGUGAAGGAUGACUGCCCUAUGGGUUGUAAACUUCUUUUAUAUGGGAAUAAAAUGUUCCACGUGUGGGAUUUUGUAUGUACCAUAUGAAUAAAGAUCGGCUAACUCCGUGCCAGCAGCCGCGGUAAUACGGAGGGUCCGAGCGUUAUCCGGAUUUAUUGGGUUUAAAGGGAGCGUAGGUGGAUUGGUAAGUCAGUUGUGAAAGUUUGCGGCUCAACCGUAAAAUUGCAGUUGAAACUGGCAGUCUUGAGUACAGUAGAGGUGGGCGGAAUGCGUGGUGUAGCGGUGAAAUGCUUAGAUAUCACGAAGAACUCCGAUUGCGAAGGCAGUUCACUGGACUGCAACUGACACUGAGGCUCGAAAGUGUGGGUAUCAAACAGGAUUAGAUACCCCAGUAGUC
This 460-nucleotide ribosomal RNA is filed under the name uncultured bacterium. RNAcentral describes it as "partial 16S ribosomal RNA". It matches the Rfam family "Bacterial small subunit ribosomal RNA", at positions 338 to 795 of the family's 1533-position model. The record is from RNAcentral.